CCCCCGGUAGUCCAAUCGGCAGAGACAAAUGACUUAAGAUCAUUUCAGUGCGAGUUCGAAUCUCGCCCGGGGGACCA
Molecule: transfer RNA, 77 nt
Filed under: Candidatus Defluviicoccus seviourii
Lineage: Bacteria; Pseudomonadati; Pseudomonadota; Alphaproteobacteria; Rhodospirillales; Rhodospirillaceae
Description: tRNA-Leu
Rfam family: tRNA
About the family: Transfer RNA (tRNA) molecules are approximately 80 nucleotides in length. Their secondary structure includes four short double-helical elements and three loops (D, anti-codon, and T loops). Further hydrogen bonds mediate the characteristic L-shaped molecular structure. tRNAs have two regions of fundamental functional importance: the anti-codon, which is responsible for specific mRNA codon recognition, and the 3' end, to which the tRNAs corresponding amino acid is attached (by aminoacyl-tRNA synthetases). tRNAs cope with the degeneracy of the genetic code in two manners: having more than one tRNA (with a specific anti-codon) for a particular amino acid; and 'wobble' base-pairing, i.e. permitting non-standard base-pairing at the 3rd anti-codon position.
Source: RNAcentral